GCGGGAAUAGCUUAGUUGGUAGAGCACGACCUUGCCAAGGUCGGGGUCGCGGAUUCGAGUUCCGUUUCCCGCU
This 73-nucleotide transfer RNA is filed under the name Bacteroidales bacterium. Its description in RNAcentral is "tRNA-Gly". It matches the Rfam family "tRNA". Rfam says of the family: Transfer RNA (tRNA) molecules are approximately 80 nucleotides in length. Their secondary structure includes four short double-helical elements and three loops (D, anti-codon, and T loops). Further hydrogen bonds mediate the characteristic L-shaped molecular structure. tRNAs have two regions of fundamental functional importance: the anti-codon, which is responsible for specific mRNA codon recognition, and the 3' end, to which the tRNAs corresponding amino acid is attached (by aminoacyl-tRNA synthetases). tRNAs cope with the degeneracy of the genetic code in two manners: having more than one tRNA (with a specific anti-codon) for a particular amino acid; and 'wobble' base-pairing, i.e. permitting non-standard base-pairing at the 3rd anti-codon position. The record is from RNAcentral. Lineage: Bacteria; Pseudomonadati; Bacteroidota; Bacteroidia; Bacteroidales.